UCUGUGACGUAAAUGAUAUCUUUUUCCGUCAAACUCAUUUCUUAACAUGAAAUUAGACUGCAAUGCUAAAUAUUUCAAGAAAUUUGAAAUUAUCAAUAGCCUUAAUUGUAACCGGGUGUGUAAUUCAUUUCAUUGGAUUUGUAUCACCUUACUGGAAUAUAAUACCAGAUACAGAAGCACUUGAAAGUACGGAAAGCGCCAUAAGACUUGGUCUGUGGACAGUAUGUAUUCGACAAGGAAAGAAAGUCAAUUGUGUACAGUACAAUCAUAGUCUUAGUCAGUCUAAGGCAGCUAAAGGCUUGGAAACAUUAUCUGUGAUAUUUUAUUUGUUAUCCCUGUUGUCAUUUUGGCUUUACCUACGUCACCCUGUUUAUGGAGGAGACAUACUUUUAGUAUGCAUGAUCUUUAUCAUUUUGAUCGUUGAAACAACUGCAGUUGGAGCUCUUUGUUGGGUAACUAUGUCUGAUAUUCAGAAGAGAUAUGUAUUAUCAUGGGCGUUUGGAUUAACGGUUGGUUCCGUGAUAUUUCCCGUUAUUGCUGGCUGGUUUGUUUCACAAGAAAGAAGUUCUUUUAUUCAACAACAUAGACGUUCCAGUUUAGAACAACCAGAAAAGAAGGAAAUUUUACUUCAUUAAAUUUUGUGAUAAAUAUGUUAUUUCUCCUGAUGGAUGUUAGCAUGAAUUGCGUUCUUAAAAUGAAAAACCACAUACCAGAGACUUACGACAUAACUUAUAUAUUACUAAUAUUACUAAUAUAUACCAGACGUAUCGCACGUACAUAUAAAAUAUUUGUAAUGCUAAGUAUUUUUUAUCGAGAUUUUUUCUGAUAAACGUACGACAAUCCAAUUUGAAUCAUGGUCCUCCACAGGUUGCACUUCUGUCAAUAUAGAUAAUGCAAUUUCCCAUAGGAACUCCUUUUAUGGCGAAAACUGUGCCACCUUUACUAUGAAGUUUCGUAAAAUAUAGCGUGGAAUAGAAAGUUCACAUGAACUACUAUUUUUUUUGCAAAUGUCAAAACAUAGGGCUGUGCGGUAUAUUUUCAGCAUUUAUAUACCUCGAACUUCUAAGAGUUUAAACUUAUACUAAAAUUAUGUACUACAUCUCCCUUUACUUUGAGUCUUCCUGAGAACUAUGUCUUUGUCUAUUUUAAAAAACUGUUUGAACAUUGUGUUAAUAAAUCGGUUCCAUUGAAA
Long non-coding RNA from Mytilus californianus (California mussel), 1192 nucleotides. RefSeq lists it as uncharacterized. NCBI's taxonomy places the organism in Eukaryota, Metazoa, Mollusca, Bivalvia, Mytilida, Mytilidae. The record is from RefSeq and is a predicted model, not a curated record. The transcript is spliced from 3 exons.